RNAcentral lists this ribosomal RNA (565 nucleotides) under uncultured bacterium. Its description in RNAcentral is "partial 16S ribosomal RNA". It matches the Rfam family "Bacterial small subunit ribosomal RNA", at positions 355 to 912 of the family's 1533-position model. The record is from RNAcentral.
UGGGGAAUUUUGGACAAUGGGCGAAAGCCUGAUCCAGCAAUGCCGCGUGUGUGAAGAAGGCCUUCGGGUUGUAAAGCACUUUUGUCCGGAAAGAAAUCCUUGGCUCUAAUACAGUCGGGGGAUGACGGUACCGGAAGAAUAAGCACCGGCUAACUACGUGCCAGCAGCCGCGGUAAUACGUAGGGUGCAAGCGUUAAUCGGAAUUACUGGGCGUAAAGCGUGCGCAGGCGGUUUGCUAAGACCGAUGUGAAAUCCCCGGGCUCAACCUGGGAACUGCAUUGGUGACUGGCAGGCUAGAGUAUGGCAGAGGGGGGUAGAAUUCCACGUGUAGCAGUGAAAUGCGUAGAGAUGUGGAGGAAUACCGAUGGCGAAGGCAGCCCCCUGGGCCAAUACUGACGCUCAUGCACGAAAGCGUGGGGGAGCAAAACAGGAUUAGAUACCCUGGUAGUCCACGCCCUAAACGAUGUCAACUAGUUGUUGGGGAUUCAUUUCCUUAGUAACGUAGCUAACGCGUGAAGUUGACCGCCUGGGGAGUACGUCGCAAGAUUAAAACUCAAAGGAAUUG